This 68-nucleotide transfer RNA is filed under the name Pachyphlegyas modiglianii. RNAcentral describes it as "tRNA-Asn". Lineage: Eukaryota; Metazoa; Arthropoda; Insecta; Hemiptera; Pachygronthidae. The record is from RNAcentral.
UUAGCUGAAGCCAAAAUAAAGAGGCAUUUUAUUGUUAAUAAAAUUAAUGGUAAAUUUACCCAGCUAAA